UCUAAUGUGGCAGAACUAAUGUAAUGAAUUUAAGAUUCAUUUAUAAAUACCCUUAUUUCUUUAGAA
This 66-nucleotide transfer RNA is filed under the name Tricentrus sp. EMHAU-15041605. RNAcentral's name for it is "tRNA-Leu". The record is from RNAcentral. Lineage: Eukaryota; Metazoa; Arthropoda; Insecta; Hemiptera; Membracidae.